RNAcentral lists this long non-coding RNA (1132 nucleotides) under Mus musculus (house mouse). RNAcentral describes it as "long non-coding RNA chr12:78609237-78610369". Lineage: Eukaryota; Metazoa; Chordata; Mammalia; Rodentia; Muridae. The record is from RNAcentral.
GUAAAUACGUUGUUUUUUUUAAAGGGUCAUCAGACACGUACUCUAUUUUUCUACAUUUUUUUCUCUAUCCAUAUUCCUGAAUACUGUUAUAUCCAUUCUCAAUUAACUGUCAAAAUUACUUCAUUCACUGAUAAACCUGCUAAUCUGUACCUAUGUAUUUUUGAUACAAUCUUAUUAUUCUGCAGGAAAAGUAUUAUAUAGUCCUAUGAAAAUUCCUUAGUAUAAAUAUACACACAGAGGUCAAAGUAAAAACUCCAUUACUUGUCUAUGAAUGUGGCUCAGAGAAACUACCUAGCAUGUACAAGGCCCUGAGUUCUCUGGCAUGACGAAACCAAAAGAUACUGUUACUGUAGCUUAUGCUUUUGCCCUUUCACAUACCAGAAAGCAGAGAGCCUUGAUCUGGAAGUCUUCUGCAUGUUUUCUAGUUGGAAACAUCUAUAGAUCCCAGGAAAAAUGAGCAGAUUCCUAGCAGUCAGGUUAAAUGUAAAAGUCUGUUCUCUUCAUUCAAACUUAAAUAUCAGUAAAGGAUUUGAUGAAACACAGGCAUGAAACCUUGAAUUCUCUCUGGAAGAAACCAUGUUCAGAGUUUUGGAACUCCAGAUGCCACUACCCUCAGAGUUCAUACCCUCAGAGUUGCCAAAAAUUGUAUUAAGCUUAAAAGCAAAUAAUAAAUAACAGCUGCCUGCCUAAAAUCUGAUCAGAUAACCCAGGAUAAGAUGUCAGCUAACUUGCUUUUUUAACUCUUAUUUGAUUUUUUUCCUUUGUUUUUCUGUGUAUAUUUUAAAAUAGGAAUACACUAUGAUAUGAUUACAUUGAUCUAAUUAGCAUAUAUAUAUUGUUUCAUAUAAUUGUUUCUUAUGAUGAGAAUGUUCAAAAUCGAUGUUCUUAGCAAUUUUGAAAAAUCAAUAUUUUAUUUUGUGUUUAUUGGUUAUUAAUUCAAAUAAAAAAUAAUCUAAAAAUAGUUCCCACCUUUUCAGGGUUAAAAAUACAGUUCUUUUUUUUUAUUUAAAAUUUUUUAUACAAUAUAUUUUGAUCAUAUUUUCCCCUCCUCCAUCUUCUACCAGGUCCUACCCACCUCUCUAUCCACACAGCUUUGUGUGCUUUUUCUUUCUUUUUCAAAAAAAAAAAAAAA